GGGUUGUGAGGUUAAGCGACUAAGCGUACACGGUGGAUGCCCUGGCAGUCAGAGGCGAUGAAGGACGUGCUAAUCUGCGAUAAGCGCCGGUAAGGUGAUAUGAACCGUUAUAACCGGCGAUACCCGAAUGGGGAAACCCAGUGUGAUUCGUCACACUAUCAUUAACUGAAUCCAUAGGUUAAUGAGGCGAACCGGGGGAACUGAAACAUCUAAGUACCCCGAGGAAAAGAAAUCAACCGAGAUUCCCCCAGUAGCGGCGAGCGAACGGGGAGGAGCCCAGAGCCUGAAUCAGCAUGUGUGUUAGUGGAAGCGUCUGGAAAGGCGCGCGAUACAGGGUGACAGCCCCGUACACAAAAGCGCAUGUGCUGUGAGCUCGAUGAGUAGGGCGGGACACGUGGUAUCCUGUCUGAAUAUGGGGGGACCAUCCUCCAAGGCUAAAUACUCCUGACUGACCGAUAGUGAACCAGUACCGUGAGGGAAAGGCGAAAAGAACCCCGGCGAGGGGAGUGAAAAAGAACCUGAAACCGUGUACGUACAAGCAGUGGGAGCACAGGUUUACCUGUGUGACUGCGUACCUUUUGUAUAAUGGGUCAGCGACUUAUAUUCUGUAGCAAGGUUAACCGAAUAGGGGAGCCGUAGGGAAACCGAGUCUUAACCGGGCGUUAAGUUGCAGGGUAUAGACCCGAAACCCGGUGAUCUAGCCAUGGGCAGGUUGAAGGUUGGGUAACACUAACUGGAGGACCGAACCGACUAAUGUUGAAAAAUUAGCGGAUGACCUGUGGCUGGGGGUGAAAGGCCAAUCAAACCGGGAGAUAGCUGGUUCUCCCCGAAAGCUAUUUAGGUAGCGCCUCGUGAAUUCAUCUCCGGGGGUAGAGCACUGUUUCGGCUAGGGGGCCAUCCCGGCUUACCAACCCGAUGCAAACUGCGAAUACCGGAGAAUGUUAUCACGGGAGACACACGGCGGGUGCUAACGUCCGUCGUGAAGAGGGAAACAACCCAGACCGCCAGCUAAGGUCCCAAAGUCAUGGUUAAGUGGGAAACGAUGUGGGAAGGCCCAGACAGCCAGGAUGUUGGCUUAGAAGCAGCCAUCAUUUAAAGAAAGCGUAAUAGCUCACUGGUCGAGUCGGCCUGCGCGGAAGAUGUAACGGGGCUAAACCAUGCACCGAAGCUGCGGCAGCGAACGUAUCACCCAAGACAACUUUACGGAGUUGACGAUUGACGGAGCGAAGCGACGUCAAAGCGUUCAUUAAAGUCGAGUUGGCUUAGGGAUACGUUCGUUGGGUAGGGGAGCGUUCUGUAAGCCUGUGAAGGUGGCCUGUGAGGGUUGCUGGAGGUAUCAGAAGUGCGAAUGCUGACAUAAGUAACGAUAAAGCGGGUGAAAAGCCCGCUCGCCGGAAGACCAAGGGUUCCUGUCCAACGUUAAUCGGGGCAGGGUGAGUCGACCCCUAAGGCGAGGCCGAAAGGCGUAGUCGAUGGGAAACGGGUUAAUAUUCCCGUACUUGGUGUUACUGCGAAGGGGGGACGGAGAAGGCUAUGUUGGCCGGGCGACGGUUGUCCCGGUUUAAGCGUGUAGGCUGGUUUUCCAGGCAAAUCCGGAAAAUCAAGGCUGAGGCGUGACGACGAGGCACUACGGUGCUGAAGCAACAAAUGCCCUGCUUCCAGGAAAAGCCUCUAAGCAUCAGGUAACAUCAAAUCGUACCCCAAACCGACACAGGUGGUCAGGUAGAGAAUACCAAGGCGCUUGAGAGAACUCGGGUGAAGGAACUAGGCAAAAUGGUGCCGUAACUUCGGGAGAAGGCACGCUGACACGUAGGUGAAGUGAUUUACUCAUGGAGCUGAAGUCAGUCGAAGAUACCAGCUGGCUGCAACUGUUUAUUAAAAACACAGCACUGUGCAAACACGAAAGUGGACGUAUACGGUGUGACGCCUGCCCGGUGCCGGAAGGUUAAUUGAUGGGGUCAGCGCAAGCGAAGCUCCUGAUCGAAGCCCCGGUAAACGGCGGCCGUAACUAUAACGGUCCUAAGGUAGCGAAAUUCCUUGUCGGGUAAGUUCCGACCUGCACGAAUGGCGUAAUGAUGGCCAGGCUGUCUCCACCCGAGACUCAGUGAAAUUGAACUCGCUGUGAAGAUGCAGUGUACCCGCGGCAAGACGGAAAGACCCCGUGAACCUUUACUAUAGCUUGACACUGAACAUUGAGCCUUGAUGUGUAGGAUAGGUGGGAGGCUUUGAAGCGUGGACGCCAGUCUGCGUGGAGCCGACCUUGAAAUACCACCCUUUAAUGUUUGAUGUUCUAACGUGGACCCGUAAUCCGGGUUGCGGACAGUGUCUGGUGGGUAGUUUGACUGGGGCGGUCUCCUCCUAAAGAGUAACGGAGGAGCACGAAGGUUGGCUAAUCCUGGUCGGACAUCAGGAGGUUAGUGCAAUGGCAUAAGCCAGCUUGACUGCGAGCGUGACGGCGCGAGCAGGUGCGAAAGCAGGUCAUAGUGAUCCGGUGGUUCUGAAUGGAAGGGCCAUCGCUCAACGGAUAAAAGGUACUCCGGGGAUAACAGGCUGAUACCGCCCAAGAGUUCAUAUCGACGGCGGUGUUUGGCACCUCGAUGUCGGCUCAUCACAUCCUGGGGCUGAAGUAGGUCCCAAGGGUAUGGCUGUUCGCCAUUUAAAGUGGUACGCGAGCUGGGUUUAGAACGUCGUGAGACAGUUCGGUCCCUAUCUGCCGUGGGCGCUGGAGAAUUGAGGGGGGCUGCUCCUAGUACGAGAGGACCGGAGUGGACGCAUCACUGGUGUUCGGGUUGUCAUGCCAAUGGCACUGCCCGGUAGCUAAAUGCGGAAAAGAUAAGUGCUGAAAGCAUCUAAGCACGAAACUUGCCCCGAGAUGAGUUCUCCCUGAGACUAUAAGUCUCCUGAAGGAACGUUGAAGACGACGACGUUGAUAGGUCGGGUGUGUAAGCGUAGCGAUACGUUGAGCUAACCGGUACUAAUGAACCGUGAGGCUUAACCUUACAACGCCGAAG
Molecule: ribosomal RNA, 3011 nt
Filed under: Salmonella enterica
Lineage: Bacteria; Pseudomonadati; Pseudomonadota; Gammaproteobacteria; Enterobacterales; Enterobacteriaceae
Description: bacterial LSU rRNA
Rfam family: Bacterial large subunit ribosomal RNA
Source: RNAcentral